RNAcentral lists this ribosomal RNA (301 nucleotides) under uncultured bacterium. RNAcentral's name for it is "partial 16S ribosomal RNA". It matches the Rfam family "Bacterial small subunit ribosomal RNA", at positions 509 to 807 of the family's 1533-position model. The record is from RNAcentral.
CAGUAGCCGCGGGAAAACGGAGGGAGCUAGCGUUGUUCGGAAUCACUGGGCGUAAAGCGCACGUAGGCGGCUAUUCAAGUCAGGGGUGAAAGCCCGGGGCUCAACCCCGGAACUGCCUUUGAAACUAGAUAGCUUGAAUCUUGGAGAGGCGAGUGGAAUUCCGAGUGUAGAGGUGAAAUUCGUAGAUAUUCGGAAGAACACCAGUGGCGAAGGCGACUCGCUGGACAAGUAUUGACGCUGAGGUGCGAAAGCGUGGGGAGCAAACAGGAUUAGAUACCCCUGUAGUCCCUGUCUCUUAUAC